This 1028-nucleotide long non-coding RNA is filed under the name Gadus morhua (Atlantic cod). Its description in RNAcentral is "lncRNA (ENSGMOG00000037168.1)". Lineage: Eukaryota; Metazoa; Chordata; Actinopteri; Gadiformes; Gadidae. The record is from RNAcentral.
CCCCUCUGAACCCCGCGGCCACCGUGGUCUCCCUCCAAGCCAGCUCCUCCCUCCCUCCCUCUUCUCCAUCUCCCCCUUCUCCUCCUUUUCCUCCUUCUCCUUCUCUUCUGUCUUCCACUGCCACCUCCAUCUACCCCUUCUCCGCCUGCUCCUCCUUCUUCUGCCUUCCCUCCCUCCUCCUCCUUCACCUCCCUCCCCCUCAUCUCCUAUCUCCCCUCCGACUCCUCCUCCGUCUCCCCCUUCUCCUUCUACUCUGUCUCCACUGCCACCUCCAUCUACCCCUUCUCCUCCUGCUCCUCCUUCUCCUCCUGCUCCUCCUUCUCCUCCUCCCUCUUCCAUCUACCCCUUCUCCUCCUUCUCCUCCUUCUCCUCCUGCUCCUCCUUCUCCUCCUGCUCCUCCUUCUCCUCCCUCCUCCUGCUCCUCCUUCUCCUCCUCCUCCUCCUUCUCCUCCUGCUCCUCCUUCUCCUCCUGCUCCUCCUCCUCCUGCUCCUCCUCCUCCUCCUUCUCCUCCUCCUCCUCCUCCUCCUCCUCCUCCUUCUCCUCCCUCCUCCUCCAUCUCCUCCUUCUCCUCCUCCUCCUUCUUCUCUAUCUCCUCCCUCCUCCUCCAUCUACACCUUCUCCUCCUUCUCCUCCUCCUCCUCCUCCUUCUCCUCCCUCCUCCUCCAUCUCCUCCUUCUCCUCCUCCUCCUUCUUCUCUCUCUCCUCCCUCCUCCUCCAUCUACCCCUUCUCCUCCUGCUCCUCCUUUUCCUCCUCCUUCUCCUCCUCCUCCUCCUUCUUCUCUCUCCUCCCUCCUCCUCCAUCUCCUCCUUCUCCUCCUCCUCCUUCUUCUCUCUCUCCUCCCUCCUCCUCCAUCUACACCUUCUCCUCCUUCUCCGUCCUCUCCUCCAUCUCAUCCGUCAUCUCCAUCCCAUGGUCUCCUCUGUCUCCUCCUCCUCCUCCCCCCCCCCCUCCUCUGUCCCGUCUCAUCAACCCCCCUCACCCUUUCUCCCCCACCCCCUCCGGCCUCCCCCCUCUUCCUCUUCCUGU